CGAAGGCCUUUGGCUCCGGCACCUUCAUUGAGCGGGAUGGUUCUGUAGCAAAGGCACCCGGGCUGCAGAAUGCUGUCUUGAGCACUCCCAUUUCACUCUCUGCAAUGCUAACACGAGAGGCUAGAACGGCACUUACUUCUUCAAACCAAGAUUGAAGUGCGCUCAGCCUUUCCUCGAGCUCAUCCAAUUUGGAUAUCAUCGGGCGUUCCAACUCCUCUGGGACUUCACCGAGUACCUGCUCGAUGAUUGUUACCCGGUCUCGAACAGCAUCCAAGCCGGAUCCACCAGCCA
This 291-nucleotide long non-coding RNA is filed under the name Elaeis guineensis (African oil palm). Its description in RNAcentral is "long non-coding RNA (EGUI_LNC049353)". Lineage: Eukaryota; Viridiplantae; Streptophyta; Magnoliopsida; Arecales; Arecaceae. The record is from RNAcentral.